Molecule: ribosomal RNA, 253 nt
Filed under: uncultured bacterium
Lineage: Bacteria
Description: partial 16S ribosomal RNA
Rfam family: Bacterial small subunit ribosomal RNA
Source: RNAcentral
UACGUAGGGUGCGAGCGUUAUUCGGAAUUAUUGGGCGUAAAGGGCGCGUAGGCGGUUCUUCAAGUCUCUCGUGAAAUCCCUCGGCUUAACUGAGGACGUGCGGGAGAUACUGAAGGGCUUGAGUCCGGAAGAGGGUGGUGGAAUUCCCAGUGUAGCGGUGAAAUGCGUAGAUAUUGGGAGGAACACCGGUGGCGAAGGCGGCCACCUGGGCCGGAACUGACGCUGAGGCGCGAAAGCGUGGGGAGCAAACGGG